GACGAACGCUGGCGGCGUGCCUAAUACAUGCAAGUAGAACGCUGAAGGAGGAGCUUGCUUCUCUGGAUGAGUUGCGAACGGGUGAGUAACGCGUAGGUAACCUGCCUGGUAGCGGGGGAUAACUAUUGGAAACGAUAGCUAAUACCGCAUAAUAGUAGAUGUUGCAUGACAUUUGCUUAAAAGGUGCAAUUGCAUCACUACCAGAUGGACCUGCGUUGUAUUAGCUAGUUGGUGGGGUAACGGCUCACCAAGGCGACGAUACAUAGCCGACCUGAGAGGGUGAUCGGCCACACUGGGACUGAGACACGGCCCAGACUCCUACGGGAGGCAGCAGUAGGGAAUCUUCGGCAAUGGACGGAAGUCUGGCCGAGCAACGCCGCGUGAGUGAAGAAGGUUUUCGGAUCGUAAAGCUCUGUUGUAAGAGAAGAACGAGUGUGAGAGUGGAAAGUUCACACUGUGACGGUAUCUUACCAGAAAGGGACGGCUAACUACGUG
Molecule: ribosomal RNA, 495 nt
Filed under: uncultured bacterium
Lineage: Bacteria
Description: partial 16S ribosomal RNA
Rfam family: Bacterial small subunit ribosomal RNA
Source: RNAcentral